Molecule: small RNA, 564 nt
Filed under: Pongo abelii (Sumatran orangutan)
Lineage: Eukaryota; Metazoa; Chordata; Mammalia; Primates; Hominidae
Description: retained intron
Source: RNAcentral
ACCAGCAGUUCCUGUCCUGCCAUGACCCCAUCAACAUCCAGUUCACCUCGGAGAGCGCCUGAAACUGCAUGAGAAGACACCAGAGCAGUUGCGGAUGAUCCUGCCCAGCCCCCUGUACCAUUGCCUGGGUUCCGUGGGAGGCACAAUGAUGUGUCUGAUGUACGGUGCCACCCUCAUCCUGGCCUCUCCCGUUUUCAAUGGCAAGAAGGCACUGGAGGCCAUCAGCAGAGAGAGAGGCUCCUUCCUGUAUGGUACCCCCACGAUGUUCGUGGACAUUCUGAACCAGCCAGACUUCUCCAGUUAUGACAUCUCGACCAUGUGUGGAGGUGUCAUUGCUGGGUCCCCUGCACCUCCAGAGUUGAUCCGAGCCAUCAUCAACAAGAUAAAUAUGAAGGACCUGGUGGUUGCUUAUGGAACCACAGAGAACAGUCCCGUGACAUUUGCCCACUUCCCUGAGGACACUGUGGAGCAGAAGGCAGAAAGCGUGGGCAGAAUUAUGCCUCACACGGAGGUGAGCCCCCGACCAAGACUCGGAAGUCCCACCUCUCGUCACCCAACUGGGGU